Molecule: transfer RNA, 70 nt
Filed under: Dipodomys ordii (Ord's kangaroo rat)
Lineage: Eukaryota; Metazoa; Chordata; Mammalia; Rodentia; Heteromyidae
Rfam family: tRNA
About the family: Transfer RNA (tRNA) molecules are approximately 80 nucleotides in length. Their secondary structure includes four short double-helical elements and three loops (D, anti-codon, and T loops).
Source: Rfam by way of RNAcentral
GGGAAUGUGGCUUAGCGGCAGAGUACUUGCCUCACAUGCAUGAAGCCCUGGGUUCGAUUCCUUAGUACCA